Long non-coding RNA from Cygnus olor (mute swan), 910 nucleotides. RefSeq lists it as uncharacterized. Lineage: Eukaryota; Metazoa; Chordata; Aves; Anseriformes; Anatidae. The record is from RefSeq and is a predicted model, not a curated record. The transcript is spliced from 3 exons.
AGCCUUAGUUUUGUUCUUGGGAUAGGGUCCUACUGCAGCUCUGGACCAGAGAAGCUACCCAGCAUCAUCUGCUUUGGGAAGGGGUGGGCAAGGACUUUCUCUUUGGAUUAGUUUGUGGGGUUUCUACUCUGCCUCAUUUCACUGAGCAUAUUUGGUGCUCCCUGGUGGGUGGCUGCAGACCUUUCUGAGCCCGAGACUGGGGUAGCGUUUUCCCAAUCAGCCUGAAAAUACUGUGCAGUGCCUGGAGCACAAAGGUGUAAGAAUGCUGUAGAGCCCAAGAAGUGCCAAUUUAGCAGGGAGCGCUUAUAGCUUCUCUGUGGAAGAGGCCAAAAAACUUGUCUCAGGUUGACUGAGGAUAUAUUUAAUACAUGAUCUUCCCAAGUUAAGUCUUCUUGCUUUCCCUCCUAAAGAAACUGGCCUCCCUAAAAAAACGCCCAAGUCAACUGAACUCCAGGGAAAAAAGGGUUUCCUUUGGGAAUAACCACUUGUUCUCUUAGCCAAGAGUGACCUGCUGACACUUGGUUUCAGCUGGAGAGGGAAAGUCAUUUGUGCACUCUGAUGUAUGUAUGCAGGCAAGGUGUGCACCAUAUAAGCUUUUUUGUAAUGAGUUGGGGUGGAGUUGUUCCUCAUGAGUCCUGAAGUGUAACUCACUUACGUGACUCAUCCUAAAGUAGCCCUGAUGGCUCUUUACCCCAUCAUGUGCCAACUAACUGUUUUUGCAGGAAGGAAAAAAAAAAAAAAAAAAAAAGGAAUAUUUUAGCAAUCUUAAAAGGCUUAUUGGAACAAUUCUCCACUCCCUUGCUCCCUAGUGUUCAAAUCCAGACUUUUUUUUUAAUCUUAAAUAAGGCUUUGUGUGCCCAAAAGAUUGUGCGAUUUUUCCAUCUCUUAGCUGAUCUAAUAAAAAAUAAUU